GAUGAAGAACGUAGCGAAAUGCGAUAAGUAAUGUGAAUUGCAGAAUUCAGUGAAUCAUCGAAUCUUUGAACGCACAUUGCGCCCGUUAGCAUUCUAGCGGGCAUGCCUGUCCGAGCGUCAUUUCAACCCUCAGGGUCCCCGUUCCGGCGGGGAACCUGGUGUUGGGGAUCGGCCCGCCCCGUGCGGCGCCGUCCCCCAAAUUCAGUGGCGGUCUCGCUGCAGCCUCCCCUGCGUAGUAGUUACAACCUCGCAUCGGAGCUCAGCGCGGCCACGCCGUAAAACCCCCGCCUUUCUGAACGUUGACCUCGGAUCAGGUAGGAAUACCCGCUGAACUUAAGCAUAUCAAUAAGCGGAGGA
Molecule: unclassified non-coding RNA, 357 nt
Filed under: soil metagenome
Description: partial contains 5.8S ribosomal RNA, internal transcribed spacer 2, and large subunit ribosomal RNA
Rfam family: 5.8S ribosomal RNA (bases 1-120)
Source: RNAcentral